UAGGGAAUCUUCGGCAAUGGACGAAAGUCUGACCGAGCAACGCCGCGUGAGUGAAGAAGGUUUUCGGAUCGUAAAACUCUGUUGGUAGAGAAGAACGUUGGUGAGAGUGGAAAGCUCAUCAAGUGACGGUAACUACCCAGAAAGGGACGGCUAACUACGUGCCAGCAGCCGCGGUAAUACGUAGGUCCCGAGCGUUGUCCGGAUUUAUUGGGCGUAAAGCGAGCGCAGGUGGUUUAUUAAGUCUGGUGUAAAAGGCAGUGGUUCAACCAUUGUAUGCAUUGGAAACUGGUAGACUUGAGUGCAGGAGAGGAGAGUGGAAUUCCAUGUGUAGCGGUGAAAUGCGUAGAUAUAUGGAGGAACACCGGUGGCGAAAGCGGCUCUCUGGCCUGUAACUGACACUGAGGCUCGAAAGCGUGGGGAGCAAACAGGAUUAGAUACCCUGGUAGUCCACGCCGUAAACGAUGAGUGCUAGAUGUAGGGAGCUAUAAGUUCUCUGUAUCGCAGCUAACGCAAUAAGCACUCCGCCUGGGGAGUACGACCGCAAGGUUGAAAC
This 553-nucleotide ribosomal RNA is filed under the name uncultured bacterium. RNAcentral's name for it is "partial 16S ribosomal RNA". It matches the Rfam family "Bacterial small subunit ribosomal RNA", at positions 355 to 900 of the family's 1533-position model. The record is from RNAcentral.